RNAcentral lists this ribosomal RNA (253 nucleotides) under uncultured bacterium. Its description in RNAcentral is "partial 16S ribosomal RNA". It matches the Rfam family "Bacterial small subunit ribosomal RNA", at positions 524 to 776 of the family's 1533-position model. The record is from RNAcentral.
UACGUAGGUGACCAGCGUUGUCCAGAUUUACUGGGCGUAAAGAGCGCGCAGGCGGUCGUUCAAGUCGAGUGUGAAAGCCCCCGGCUCAACUGGGGAGGGUCAUUCGAUACUGAUCGACUCGAAGGCAGGAGAGGGAAGCGGAAUUCCCGGUGUAGUGGUGAAAUGCGUAGAUAUCGGGAGGAACACCUAUGGCGAAGGCAGCUCGCUGGGACGGUACUGACGCUGAGACGCGAAAGCGUGGGGAGCAAACAGG